This 460-nucleotide ribosomal RNA is filed under the name uncultured bacterium. RNAcentral's name for it is "partial 16S ribosomal RNA". It matches the Rfam family "Bacterial small subunit ribosomal RNA", at positions 338 to 795 of the family's 1533-position model. The record is from RNAcentral.
CCUACGAGUGGCAGCAGUGAGGAAUAUUGGUCAAUGGGCGCGAGCCUGAACCAGCCAAGUAGCGUGAAGGAUGACUGCCCUACGGGUUGUAAACUUCUUUUAUAAAGGAAUAAAGUGAGGCACGUGUGCCUUUUUGUAUGUACUUUAUGAAUAAGGAUAGGCUAACUCCGUGCCAGCAGCCGCGGUAAUACGGAGGAUCCGAGCGUUAUCCGGAUUUAUUGGGUUUAAAGGGAGCGUAGAUGGGUUGUUAAGUCCGUUGUGAAAGUUUGCGGCUCAACCGUAAAAUUGCAAUUGAUACUGGCAGUCUUUAGGACAGUUGAGGUAGGCAGAAUUCGUGGUGUAGCUGAGAGAUGCUUAGAUAUCACGAAGAACUCCGAUUGCGAAGGCAGCUUACUAAACUGCCACUGACAUUGAUGCUCGAAAGUGUGGGUAUCAAACAGGAUUAGAUACCCGGGUAGUC